This 707-nucleotide long non-coding RNA is filed under the name Helianthus annuus (common sunflower). RNAcentral's name for it is "sRNA HanXRQr2_Chr05g0222481". Lineage: Eukaryota; Viridiplantae; Streptophyta; Magnoliopsida; Asterales; Asteraceae. The record is from RNAcentral.
GAGAGAGAGGGGCUGUGUAGACGAUGGCCUUGACGACGGUUAGCAUUCCGACCAAAUCAGACCAGAUUCCGUGUUCCGGUGAAGGUACGACUAGGGUUCUAGGGAGUAGUGCCAGCAAGGAGGAUCAGUUGAUGAUCCGGUGAGUAGAUUAAAGCCUGUACGGGAGUUCUUCAAGUGAAUCAGCAACUGUCCAGGCCGACUCUACAUAUAUGUGGGCAACCUCCUCUUAUAUACGACCGAAGGGACAGCAGACGACAUUUCUUUCUGAGCUAUCGGCAUCGCCUCUUUCAUUCUUCCCCAGCCGCUGAUCGGAAACUUAUUUGGUCUAAAAGGCUGAGAAUAUGUUGGGGAUUGUAAGGCGGAACAUUGGGGGCGCCGGCGGCUUAUCUUCUCGAGUAAAUGAAAUGAUGUGGCAUCUGGUUUAACAAGCAAAGAUAUUGUUGGAACGAAAAUGGGUUAAUGUUUUGUGUUUAUUCAGGGGUUGGGGAAUUAUAUGAUGAGGUUAAGACCUGUAGCGUUAGCCCUGAGGAAUUACUCAUCUGGAGGCAAAGAGGUGAUUUUGAGUUUUGAUUUCUAUUUGGUCACUGAACCAUACACAAAAGCAUAUGGACCACCAUAAUGUGCUCCAGUAGAUGGAUGUUCGACUAACACGGCUGAAUGAAACGAAUUAAGGUAACCUAUGAAACGAAGAUUUUGUUUGGCGACUU